RNAcentral lists this long non-coding RNA (388 nucleotides) under Zonotrichia albicollis (white-throated sparrow). Its description in RNAcentral is "lncRNA (ENSZALG00000008404.1)". Lineage: Eukaryota; Metazoa; Chordata; Aves; Passeriformes; Passerellidae. The record is from RNAcentral.
AUGAGCUUGUGCAACUGAAAAAUUUAACCCUGUCAUUUCUCUGCCCACCCCUCCGUUUUUGUAACUUCUUGUUUUGAUCCAGUCAGCCAACUCUGUGCAUUUUCUGGAAUUCAGAUGGGCCAUCUGCUACCCACACAUUCAAGAAGAAAGCCACACAAAAAAGGCAGCAAGGAUGAUGUUUUCCCAUGCAAGCUGAAGUGACUCUCACUUUUGAGGUUUGAACCCCUCUGGUGAGCAGCAUCACAAAUGUGAUACAGACCUUCAGUAAUUACUGAAGCAGCAGUUUGUCACAAGCUGCCUGCAGCACUGAUGGACAAUCUGCUGGUGGGUAUUGUUAGAGGAAGGAAUAUGUAAGACAUGAUAUUUGUGACAGCCUUCACUUGGGUUU